Molecule: non-coding RNA, 944 nt
Filed under: Jenkinsia lamprotaenia (dwarf round herring)
Lineage: Eukaryota; Metazoa; Chordata; Actinopteri; Clupeiformes; Clupeidae
Description: 12S rRNA
Rfam family: Bacterial small subunit ribosomal RNA
Source: RNAcentral
CAAAAGUUUGGUCCUGACUUUAUUGUCGGCUUUAGCCCAAUUUACACAUGCAAGUAUCCGCAACCCAGUGAAGAUGCCCUCAUCCCUCCUUCCGAGGGAGAGGAGCUGGUAUCAGGCACUCCUGGUGCCCAAGACGCCUUGCUCAGCCACACCCCCAAGGGAAUUCAGCAGUGAUAGAUAUUGAGCCAUUAACGCAAGUUGGACUCAGUUAGGGUUAAAAGGGUCGGUAAAACUCGUGCCAGCCACCGCGGUUAUACGAGAGACCCUAGUUGACACCUUCGGCGUAAAGAGUGGUUAUGGGAAAAUCAACUGGAAAAGAACGCUUCUCUGGCCGUUAUACGCUCCCGGACAGCGGAAUCGCACACGCGAGCACCUCCACCCAAGUCUACCAGAAGCCACGAUAGCCAGGGAACAAACUGGGAUUAGAUACCCCACUAUGCCUGGCCCUAAACAUUGAUGUUACCACACAACAUACAUCCGCCUGGGUACUACGGGCAUCAGCCUAAAACCCAAAGGACUUGGCGGUGUUUCAGACCCCCCUAGAGGAGCCUGUUCUAGAACCGAUAAUCCUCGUUUAACCUCACCAUCCCUGGUCCAACCCGCCUAUAUACCGCCGUCGCCAGCUUACCCUGUGAAGGUAUCAUAGUAAGCAGAAUGGGCACCGCCCAAAACGUCAGGUCGAGGUGUAGCGCACGGGGUGGGAAGAAAUGGGCUACAUUACCUGAUGCAGGUAAUACACGGACUGCUCGCUGAAAAAGAGCACGAAGGUGGAUUUAGCAGUAAGGGGAAAAUAGAGUGCCCCCCUGAAGCAGGCUCUGAAACGCGCACACACCGCCCGUCACUCUCCCCAAAUAGUAAUACAUCCGGUUUUCAACGCAACACACACAACAAGGGGAGGCAAGUCGUAACACGGUAAGUGUACCGGAAGGUGCACUUGGAAUAAU